CUCAAACAUUAUCAGCGAUAGUGGCAAUGACUGAGCUGCAGAAUCUGCUGCAUUCACAUCUGCAGCGAUAAAACCGUACAGACAGCCUUCUUCAAAUAACGCAGCAGCUAUUUUGCAGUAUAUAAACAUGGCGGUUUACCAACAUGCAUCAGCGCGUUAUGAUCAUCUAUAUAUAGAUGUCAAGUCGUAGAGCAUCUCUUCGGAACUACAUAUAUGCCACCUCUGUCUAUGCUGGCCUCGCCUGCGACCCGUACUGGACGUGUGAAGACUGGUGGCAGGGUGUUUGUACUGGACCUCAAACACCGAGCCCACUGACAGCUUGCUUAAUAAACAACAUGGGAAGAAGGACAUUCUCAGGAGUAUGCAGGAAUGGUCCACAAUUCCUCUACUGAUCCAAACAGCAUGCUCCAUUCGACCACAAAACUGCAAAUUUCACAGUAUGUCAAGCACCUGGCCAAACUGCUGAACACCAGUUCAUCAUUAAACAGCUCCAGAGAAACGUCUUUAAAGCAAGAAGUAAAACAACCAGAGUGCCACUGGUAACAAUGAAGCCUGUGGAUGUAAACCCAGCACCACCUGCUCUGACCACACUCCUAACUCAUGACACCACUGAGAGAAUUGUAUUAUGCAGCAGCAGCAACCUGAGCAGGAGAAGAAGAAACAAACAAAGACUUCUCUUGCUUGUGGACAGCCAAAGAUGGUUCCUCUAUUUACUUUUUUUAAUCAGCAAGGCCCUGUCAGGUACUUCUGUUCCACAAAGGUUUUUAAUGCUUACAGUGAUUAAGGACUAACACAUCCCAGAAUGCCAUUACAAGACUUUAUAGAAACGGAGUUCUUUAAGAGUGAACUUGAGGAAACAAAGUAAUGGAUGGAGGAGAGAGGACAGCAAAAACGCAAAAGACCUGAAACCGAACACGUUGGUCGCUUGUGCAGAUUGUGUAAAAUGGAACUGAAGCGGGGCCUUAACAGUCCUCACAUACACACAGGCUUUCCUGGCGUAGCAGGGAAAUAUGUUCAUUGCCCUGCUACAGUCUUUUCCAUUUACUAACCUCAGGGCAUGCAGAAAGAAAUGACCUGGAAAAAGUUUAAAGAGUCUGUAUUUUACAAGAUGG
This is a long non-coding RNA of Cyprinus carpio carpio, 1112 nucleotides long. Lineage: Eukaryota; Metazoa; Chordata; Actinopteri; Cypriniformes; Cyprinidae. The record is from Ensembl.